AAUAUUUUGUUUAGAAUUUUUAUGUCUAUAUUCAUCAAGGAUAUUGGCCUAUAGUUUGUUUUUUUAUAAUGUCUUGUGUGACUUUGAUAUCAGAGUAAUGUUGGCCUCAUAAAUAUGUUUAAAAGUAUGCACACUUCUUCAAUUUUUUGAAAGAGUUUGAGAAGGAUUGGUAUUGGUAUUAGUACUUCUUUAGAUGUUUGGUAGAAUUCAGUAGUGAAGCAAUCAGAUCCUGGGAUUUUAUUUGAUGGGAGACAUUUUAUUACUGAUUCAAUAUCCUUCCUUGUUAUUGGUCUUUUCACAUUUUCUUUUACCUCAUAAUUUAGUCUUAGUAUGCUGUAUGUGUCUAGGAAUUUAUUAAUUUCUUCUAGGUCAUCCAAUUUUUUGGCAUAUAACUGUUCAUAGUAGACUCAUGAUCAUUUGUAUUUUUACAAUAUCAGGUGUAA
This is a long non-coding RNA of Sapajus apella (tufted capuchin), 443 nucleotides long. RefSeq lists it as uncharacterized. Lineage: Eukaryota; Metazoa; Chordata; Mammalia; Primates; Cebidae. The record is from RefSeq and is a predicted model, not a curated record. The transcript is spliced from 3 exons.